Molecule: ribosomal RNA, 425 nt
Filed under: uncultured bacterium
Lineage: Bacteria
Description: partial 16S ribosomal RNA
Rfam family: Bacterial small subunit ribosomal RNA
Source: RNAcentral
AUGAGGAAUUUUGCGCAAUGGGGGCAACCCUGACGCAGCGACGCCGCGUGGAGGACGAAGUCUUUCGGGAUGUAAACUCCUGUCAGUGGGGACGAUAAUGACGGUACCCACAGAGGAAGCACCGGCUAACUCCGUGCCAGCAGCCGCGGUAAGACGGAGGGUGCAAGCGUUGUUCGGAAUUACUGGGCGUAAAGCGUAUGUAGGCGGCAAGUUAAGUUCAAUGUUAAAGCCCACGGCUCAACCGAGGAGAUGCAUUGAAUACUGGCUAGCUAGAGGGUGUUAGAGGAAGACGGAAUUCCCAGUGUAGCGGUGAAAUGCGUAGAUAUUGGGAGGAACAUCGGUAGCGAAAGCGGUCUUCUGGGACAUACCUGACGCUGAGGUACGAAAGCGUGGGGAGCAAACGGGAUUAGAAACCCCUGUAGUCC